RNAcentral lists this ribosomal RNA (446 nucleotides) under uncultured bacterium. RNAcentral's name for it is "partial 16S ribosomal RNA". It matches the Rfam family "Bacterial small subunit ribosomal RNA", at positions 338 to 795 of the family's 1533-position model. The record is from RNAcentral.
CCUACGGGAGGCAGCAGUCGAGAAUCAUUCACAAUGGGGGAAACCCUGAUGGUGCGACGCCGCGUGGGGGAAUGAAGGUCUUCGGAUUUUAAACCCCUGUCAUGUGGGAGCAAAUUAACAAGAUCGUACCACAAGAGGAAGAGACGGCUAACUCUGUGCCAGCAGCCGCGGUAAUACAGAGGUCUCAAGCGUUGUUCGGAAUCACUGGGCGUAAAGCGUGCGUAGGCUGUUUGGUAAGUCGUGUGUGAAAGGCGCGGGCUCAACCCGCGGACGGCACAUGAUACUGCGAGACUAGAGUAAGGGAGGGGGAACCGGAAUUCUCGGUGUAGCAGUGAAAUGCGUAGAUAUCGAGAGGAACACUCGUGGCGAAGGCGGGUUACUGGACAGUAACUGACGCUGAGGCACGAAGGCCAGGGGAGCGAAAGGGAUUAGAUACCCUUGUAGUC